This 606-nucleotide ribosomal RNA is filed under the name uncultured organism. Its description in RNAcentral is "bacterial SSU rRNA". It matches the Rfam family "Bacterial small subunit ribosomal RNA", at positions 200 to 823 of the family's 1533-position model. The record is from RNAcentral.
GGUAAAGCUUUUGCGGUUUGGGAUGGGCCUGCGUCCUAUCAGGUAGUUGGUGAGGUAAAUGCUCACCAAGCCUAUGACGGGUAGCUGGUCUGAGAGGAUGGUCAGCCAGACUGGGACUGCGACACGGCCCAGACCCCUACGGGAGGCAGCAACUAGGAAUUGUGCGCAAUGGACGAAAGUCUGACGCCGCGACAUCGCGUGGAGGAUGAAGGUCUUCGGAUUGUAAACUCCUUUUCUUACCGAACAAGUUCUGAGUGUAGGUAAGGAAUAAGUGCCUGCUAACCACGUGCCAGAAGCAUCGGUAAUACGUGGGGCACGAGCGUUAUCCGGAUUUACUGGGCGUAAAGAGAAGCGUAGGCGGCUCAAUAAGUUUGGUGUUAAAUCUUCCGGCUCAACCGGAAACAAGCACCGAAAACUAUCGAGAUUGAGUCGAGUAGGGAAGAGGGGAAUUCCUGGUGGAGCGGUUAAAUGCGUAGAUAUCAGGAGGAAUACCAAGGGCGAAGGCACCUCUUUGGACUCGUACUGACGCUGAGGCUCGAAAGCGUGGGUAGCAAAACGGAUUAGAUACCCGUGUAGUCCACGCCGUAAACGAUCCCUGUUAGAUGU